This 74-nucleotide transfer RNA is filed under the name Salmo salar (Atlantic salmon). It matches the Rfam family "tRNA". Rfam says of the family: Transfer RNA (tRNA) molecules are approximately 80 nucleotides in length. The record is from Rfam by way of RNAcentral. Lineage: Eukaryota; Metazoa; Chordata; Actinopteri; Salmoniformes; Salmonidae.
GCACCUUAGGCUACAGUUGGUAGAGCAUGGUGUUUGCAACGCCAGGGUUGUGGGUUCGAUUCCCACGGGGGGCC